This 894-nucleotide long non-coding RNA is filed under the name Equus asinus (donkey). RNAcentral's name for it is "lncRNA (ENSEASG00005030444.1)". Lineage: Eukaryota; Metazoa; Chordata; Mammalia; Perissodactyla; Equidae. The record is from RNAcentral.
AUAAAAAGAAGAAAAAGUUAACUCAGGAUUAUUUAAUGGUACUUUAACAUCAGUGUUGUAUUUUCCUGUUAAAAAUAUCAGCUAUAAAAAUAGGAAGAACCUUGUCGUUUAGAAAUCAAUAUACAAAGUGCAGUUGGUUCAGGUUUGCAUUACUGAUGAAAACCUGCUUACUCAAAUCAGCUACUUUCAGUAGGAACCACUGUGGAUCAGAUCCUUGCGUCAGUCCACAUUCAUUUUAGGUGCAGCAUAGACCGCAGUACAUAUCUUCUGUUUCAACAUCACUCUAAUUUAAGCAGCCCCUAAAGUUGGAGCUAUUCUCAUCAAGCAUCUGGAGUGCUGACACCUGAGAUCUGCGGCUGGCUGCCCAUUCCCCUGCUGGUUUCCUCAGCAGAAGGCAGCCAUCUUUGUCACUGUUGAGGGACUUGGAAGAGGACAGGCCUAGACUGAGCUAACAUGGAGCAGAAAACCAAGGGAGACAAACCCGAGGAACAGAAAAAUUGACUUUGAAAGAGCUGACCCACUGGGUCUAGGAAGAAUAUUCCAAUUCACUCUUAUUCCUACCCUCAACCAAUAAUAGCCUUGCCAUCAGGUUUAUGGGUUGGAAGACAACAAGCAAACUACACAACACCAAGGGAUAGGAAGUGUGGAUGCCCCACGGCGGUGAAAUGCAAGAAUAGUUUGAGAAGCAUAAUUAUCCAACGUGGCAGUUUGAUGAAGGGAUGGAAGUUGACAUUCCUAAGCUUGAGUAAAGUGUCCUGGAAUCUGAGUGGUUAUAAAUGGUCCACAUUUCAAGUUCCUGUCUCACCCCAAAGUGCUGGGAGCUCCCUCAUAACAAGGCCCACCUGGACACCUGCAACCUUGACCCACAGGGCAGAGAGCCACGUGCUGAGUCAU